UGGGGAAUCUUGCACAAUGGGGGAAACCCUGAUGCAGCGACGCCGCGUGAGCGAUGAAGCCCUUCGGGGUGUAAAGCUCUUUCGGCAGGAACGAUAAUGACGGUACCUGAAGAAGAAGCUGCGGCUAACUACGUGCCAGCAGCCGCGGUAAUACGUAGGCAGCAAGCGUUGUUCGGAGUUACUGGGCGUAAAGAGUGCGUAGGCGGUGCUCUAAGUUUGGUGUGAAAUCUCCCGGCUUAACUGGGAGGGUGCGCCGAAAACUGGAGUGCUUGAGUAUGGGAGAGGCAAGCGGAAUUCCUGGUGUAGCGGUGAAAUGCGUAGAUAUCAGGAGGAACACCUGUGGUGUAGACAGCUUGCUGGACCAUCACUGACGCUGAGGCACGAAAGCGUGGGUAGCAAACA
RNAcentral lists this ribosomal RNA (402 nucleotides) under uncultured Bryobacter sp. Its description in RNAcentral is "bacterial SSU rRNA". It matches the Rfam family "Bacterial small subunit ribosomal RNA", at positions 355 to 774 of the family's 1533-position model. Lineage: Bacteria; Pseudomonadati; Acidobacteriota; Terriglobia; Bryobacterales; Bryobacteraceae. The record is from RNAcentral.